UUGGGAGCUCACUGGCUUCGGAGUCGUAGGAACUCCGAAGUUAAGCGAGUUGGGGGCUAGAGCAAUCCCAAGAUGGGUGACCCACUGGGAAGUUGCUCGUGAGUUCCCAGA
RNAcentral lists this ribosomal RNA (111 nucleotides) under Prunus dulcis (almond). The record is from RNAcentral. Lineage: Eukaryota; Viridiplantae; Streptophyta; Magnoliopsida; Rosales; Rosaceae.